Molecule: long non-coding RNA, 530 nt
Filed under: Fukomys damarensis (Damara mole-rat)
Lineage: Eukaryota; Metazoa; Chordata; Mammalia; Rodentia; Bathyergidae
Description: lncRNA (ENSFDAG00000023439.1)
Source: RNAcentral
AUGGAGCGCUCAGAGAUAAAGCAACUAAUAAGCGGGCUCCUGGGAACGCAGCAGAGUCCUCCGCCAGCCGGCGGGCCCACGUGGCGCGUGCGAGCCAGUGGGGUGACAGCUGGGGACCCACUUGUCCCGCCCUCUCGCGUCACCUCAUCUCCGCUCUCCGCCCCAUCACCUGAGCCGAGCAGCGCGUCGAGGACAGCCAAGCGCCGGCAACCAGGCAGUGAAAGUGGCGGCCACAUCCUCGGCUCGUCUCCUUGCUUACCCUGGACCCUCGCCCUCUUCUCGCCGCUGCCAGCAGAUCCGACCCUCAGUCUCUGGGCUGCGCAGAGCGCCGUAACCGCCUCCACCGGCUUCUCGCUUACCCCAGCCAGCUCUAGCUACAGCCAAGAAAACUCUGCCCUGCUCCAGCCCUACAACUUGGACAUCACCUAUGGCCCCUUUUAAGAUGGCAACUCAGUCAAUACCUUUCCACUGCCCCCCAGGUAAUGCCCCAGAGGGUGAGUAUUCACAGACAGCCUGGAGGGGACAUUCCU